Molecule: transfer RNA, 69 nt
Filed under: Rattus norvegicus (Norway rat)
Lineage: Eukaryota; Metazoa; Chordata; Mammalia; Rodentia; Muridae
Rfam family: tRNA
About the family: Transfer RNA (tRNA) molecules are approximately 80 nucleotides in length.
Source: Rfam by way of RNAcentral
GGGGAUUUGGCUCAGUGGUAGAGCGCUUGCCUAGCAAGCACAAGGUCCUGGGUUCGGUCCCCAGCUCUA